GUACGAAAUUCACGAGAUGUGAGUCGUGGUGUACACACACACGGUAGACGGUACACGACGCAGUACAUCUUCUCGUGUGGCUGUCUGUCUCUCUGGGUUGGUUGGUGGAAGCUGGCUCUGGGUGUGAGUGUGAGUGACUCAGUCGUCAGUCCUCCCUUCUUCUUCUUCUUCUUCUUCUUCUUCUUCAACCUCGCACCUCACCUCAGCUCCUUCUUGUUGUUACCGUCACGGUGCAGCAAGCAAACAAACAAUCAGAUCGACACAGAUCCGGCGGCCCUGUUGCCUUGCCUCACCGGAUCUCCCCAUUCCUUCUUCUCCUCUUGCUCUCGACUGGACUCGAUUCGAGUGGAAGCGAAGCGAAGCAAUCAUCUUGAUCUUGGAAGAUUGAUUGAUUGAUUGAUUGAUUGAUUGAUUGAUGGGGAAGAAGCCCAGGUGGCUGGGCGCCGUCAAGAAGGCUUUCAGCCCCGAAUCCAAGGACCAGAAACUGCAGAGGAGGUUGGCCGCCGCCGGCACCAGCACCAGCUCCAGCGCACCCUACCCGCGGGAUCUGACGCCCUCCGCCUCCUACCUCCAGGCCCGCGCCUCAGGCUCAGGCUCCGCCCUCCCCCGCUACCCCGACGACUUCCCGGAGGCCUCACUUCCGCCUCCUGCUCCUGCUCCGGCCCCGCUCCCCGUCACUGAAACUCAAACUCAAACUCAAACCCAAAGGGAGGAGCAUGAAAUUGAGCAUGUCGCUGCCGAGCCACCCACAGCCACGGAUGCACCGCUCCCUGCCCCUGCCCCUGCCGCCGCACCACCACAGGUUCAGGCACAGGCUGCCGCUGUGCCGGCGGCUUCUUCCUCUCCCAUCCUGUCCAGGGAGCUCGCCGCCACCAAGAUCCAGACCGCCUUCAGAGGUCACCUGGUAAUUACCAACGCCACACCCCCUAAUCCUAAAUCCAAUCUUAUUAUAGCUUACCUACUACAGUAACUAGCAACCUCAAAACUAGUCCUCAAUUUUGGCUACUCAUCAUCUGAAAACAAUACAUACAUUCUGUUUUCUUUCUUGACAUAGGAUCCCUUCCUUUAAUAUCAAAGCCAUCAAAUACCAACAAGUCUUCAACCUGCAACUUUGUUUCAUAAACUGGGCAGUGGCUGAUGCAUUUCGAAGUUUUGACCUAUAAAUAGACCCCAUUUUCAUUCUGAUGCGACCCUGACGGUUUGCUCAUCAACCAUGCAUGCUACAAUUAUUUCAUUAAUUACAGCCAUUUUUUUUUCUUGGACUUGUGUACUCAUUCAUUCCACCAUUUUUAUUUAUGCCAACUCUCUCCUUUUUUUUUUUUUGGCUCCAACUGCUUGACUUUGCUGUGUGGUGUGAGGCACAUUGUCUGCCACUGCCUAAGCAGGGAAAUCAAACACGACACUUGAUGUACCCCGCCGCCCCCCCAAUGGAGCUUUAACUGAAUGUUUUCUGUUACGCACUAGCAGAAUUGUUUUUUCUUACACAUAUUUUAAGUGUGCCAAGCGAAGAAUUACUCAUACAGGUUUCCCCCAUGUAUGAAUAUCUAUCUAUCUAUCUAUCUAUCCAGGCGAUUAAUUACUGAAACCAGCAUUCUUCAUGGACAUAGGAUUCUUGUUACAUCAAGACCAUCAAAUGCCAAAUGAACUGUCAAUUUUAUAUCAUCGAUGAUUAAUUAAAAACUAGUCCUGAACCUGUAAGUUUGUUUUUUAAUUCCCUAAAUAAUCUCUUCCAACUUGCAACUUUUGACACAUACAGUACAUCCUUAUGACACAUUUGCUUAGUCUGACGGUCUGCAGGCCAAUCAUGCAUAUGCUAGAAUUAGUUCAUUAACUGCAGUGACUCACUGUUAUCAUUUUUAUUUAUGCUAACUGUAAGCCUUUGUUGUGUGCCAUUGCCUAACCAGGAGCUUCCUGCAAUCCUAAUGGAGCUUUAACUGAACCUUUUUCUUUUGUUACACACUAGCAUUUUGUACCGACACUAUGAGUGUACCGUCUGAAUUGCUGAUAUAUCUAUUUCCCCCCAUGCAUGAAUAUCUAUGUAUCUAUCCAGGCGAGAAGGGCGCUGCGGGCAUUGAAAGGCCUGGUCAGGCUCAAGUCUCUGGUACAAGGCCACUCCGUCAAGCGCCAGGCCACCAGCACGCUUCGCUGCAUGCAGACUCUGUCCCGGGUCCAGUCCAAGAUACGGACGAGGAGGAUCAAGAUGGCCGAGCAGAACCAGGCCCUUCAGCGCCAGCUCUUGUUGAACCAGGAACUGGAGACUCUCAGGAUGGGAGAUCAGUGGAACACCAGCCUGCAAUCCAAGGAGCAGAUCGAGGCCAGCCUCGUGAGCAGGCAAGAGGCAGCAGCUAGAAGAGAACGGGCCCUCGCAUACGCGUUUUCCCAUCAGUGGAAGAGCACCUCAAGGUCUGCCAACCCGAUGUUUGUGGACCCGAGCAACCCGCACUGGGGCUGGAGCUGGCUGGAGCGGUGGAUGGCGUCGAGGCCGUUCGACGGCCGCAACGGGGCGUCCGAGAAGGACGGCAGCAGCGUCGACCGCACGUCGGUGAACAGCACCAGCCUGAGCAUGAACCUCGGCGAAGUGGAGACGAUCACAAAGGAUGACAACCAGGUGGUGGACUCUUUGAAGCCGAAUGAUGAUAAGCCCGCACCGUUUUCGACGCCGAAGCCGUCCGGCCCUGCCCCCAGGCAGUCCCCGUCGACGCCCUCGCCGGCAGUGCUGGCGAGGAAGAAGAGCGCGGCGCCGAAGAGUGGAGACGACGGCGACGACGCGAGGAGCGUGGUCAGUGCUGUCCGGUCCGAACGGCCCCGGAGGCACAGCAUCGGCGCGUCCAGCGUGCGUGAUGACGCGAGCCUGUCGGGCUCUUCCCCGUCUGUGCCGAGCUACAUGGCGGCCACCAAGUCGGCGUCGGCCAGGGCCAAGCUGCGCGUCCAGAGCCCGACGCUGACCGAGGGCGCUGCUCAUGCUGAAACGCUGGAGAAAGGAUGGUCUUCUGUGGGUUCAGCGAAGAAGAGGCUGUCCUUUCCGGCUGGGACGCCGCCGCCGGUGCCGUCGGCGGCGGCGAGACGGCACUCUGGGCCUCCCAAGGUGCGGCAGGCGGCCGUGGAAGGUGGUACCGAGGGACGGGACUCGGCGCUCGUGUGACAUCAUGGAAAGGAGAUUAUUUGUCUGAAACAGAGCAGAGCAGAGCGGGAUUCGUUGUGUUUGUUGAGUCAAAGGAACGUAGAAUGUGUGUUGUGUUGUGUGGAUCCAUUUGAUUUGAUUUGUAUUCCUAUUUGAUUUGUUUAUUCAUUCACUGAAUAAGCGUCUAUCUGUAAUGAUUUGAUUUGCAGGGAGAGGUUUUUCGGAUCAUCAUCAUGUGUAUGUAUGUAUGUGUGUGUUGACAAGAAGAUGAGGAGUUUUUUGAAUUUCAAAUCAUGAUGAUGAUGAUG
RNAcentral lists this ribosomal RNA (3429 nucleotides) under Triticum aestivum (bread wheat). Its description in RNAcentral is "partial small subunit ribosomal RNA". The record is from RNAcentral. Lineage: Eukaryota; Viridiplantae; Streptophyta; Magnoliopsida; Poales; Poaceae.